This is a long non-coding RNA of Balaenoptera musculus (blue whale), 430 nucleotides long. RefSeq lists it as uncharacterized. Lineage: Eukaryota; Metazoa; Chordata; Mammalia; Artiodactyla; Balaenopteridae. The transcript is spliced from 3 exons. The record is from RefSeq and is a predicted model, not a curated record.
GCAACGGUCCCGAGGUACUGCCUUUCCCUUAGGACCAGGCAGAGCCACGACUCCUGAGAUGCACUUGGGCAAUGACGUAACGUGGCGUCGCGAGGGCCUAACUACCGGAGCGGUUCCAUGGUAACGGUGAGGAGAGUGGUUGGGAGCUGCAGUCAUUUUGCUGCUACCUCGGACUGCUGUAGUCCGAAGGGAAGAGAAAGAGAGAGGAUAUAUAUCCUUGUCUUUGUAUAUUCAUAUCUUGGCUCUGACAGGAUGCAUUAAAGUGACUGACACUGGGGAGGAAAAUUGGGAACAAAGAUUGGCUGUUGACUAAUGUUUCUGUUGGCGAAAGUCCUACAAGAAUCCUUCUGGGCUUAAAGGGCAAAAGGAUUGAAGGUGAUGGUUUACCUGCCCUGAGGCAAUCCAUGGGUGAGUGUGUGAAUGUGUGUGA